This is a long non-coding RNA of Ostrinia nubilalis (European corn borer), 736 nucleotides long. RefSeq lists it as uncharacterized. The record is from RefSeq and is a predicted model, not a curated record. The transcript is spliced from 5 exons. NCBI's taxonomy places the organism in Eukaryota, Metazoa, Arthropoda, Insecta, Lepidoptera, Crambidae.
CGCGACGCCAUUUCGGUUUAACACUCGCUCCAACCGCACGCUCCUGCCAUCCCUCGUACCCAGGCUACCCUGGCAUCACCCCCAAAAAACCGCGUUCCCAGUGCUCUACGUCACACUUCACCCAUUGGGCAGACCCUUAUCACCGCUAUCAAGCCACGAGAUCCGAGCACAGCGCGUGAGCAUUAUGCCUACGCGACGCGACCGUGUUGCCGCGCAAAAUUUUCGCACAUAUACAAGCACGUCGUGUCAAAUAAGAUUCUUAUAGGCCUAUUUAGAAAAAUACACCAAAACAACCGGAAGACUGUCUAGUUUCGGACUGUGUAAGUUUCAAAAUGAAAUUCGGUUGGGGAUAAGGAUUUUUUUGGCAAUUUGUGAAGUGACUGUGCGUGUGCGAUUCAAGAUUCGCGUUUGUGCACAUGGAUUGUUACCAGUUCGGGCUGCUUUGGAUAAAACACGUGGAAAUGUACAGGAAAAUUCGAAGAAAAAUAAGGACAGCUGUAAUAUUUGACGGUUACUGAUGCUGAAAAAUUGGCUGCAAGAAAAAAUCAACAGGGUCACCAAAUGCAGAAAACAUGAGAAGUUGGAAGAAGAAGGUUGCUUCUAGAAGAUGCCUCUGCGUUGCUGCUUUUCCAAAGAAUCAGAAGAUCUAUUUUAUUGCAGGUCGUUCCAGACGAAGAAAUCUGAAACGAAGAAUUUAUUGGUAAAGAGUUUUAAAGGGUGACCGUCAAAAAAAUUU